AAAUUGAAGAGUUUGAUCAUGGCUCAGAUUGAACGCUGGCGGCAGGCCUAACACAUGCAAGUCGAACGGUAACAGGAAGAAGCUUGCUUCUUUGCUGACGAGUGGCGGACGGGUGAGUAAUGUCUGGGAAACUGCCUGAUGGAGGGGGAUAACUACUGGAAACGGUAGCUAAUACCGCAUAACGUCGCAAGACCAAAGAGGGGGACCUUCGGGCCUCUUGCCAUCGGAUGUGCCCAGAUGGGAUUAGCUUGUUGGUGGGGUAACGGCUCACCAAGGCGACGAUCCCUAGCUGGUCUGAGAGGAUGACCAGCCACACUGGAACUGAGACACGGUCCAGACUCCUACGGGAGGCAGCAGUGGGGAAUAUUGCACAAUGGGCGCAAGCCUGAUGCAGCCAUGCCGCGUGUAUGAAGAAGGCCUUCGGGUUGUAAAGUACUUUCAGCGGGGAGGAAGGGAGUAAAGUUAAUACCUUUGCUCAUUGACGUUACCCGCAGAAGAAGCACCGGCUAACUCCGUGCCAGCAGCCGCGGUAAUACGGAGGGUGCAAGCGUUAAUCGGAAUUACUGGGCGUAAAGCGCACGCAGGCGGUUUGUUAAGUCAGAUGUGAAAUCCCCGGGCUCAACCUGGGAACUGCAUCUGAUACUGGCAAGCUUGAGUCUCGUAGAGGGGGGGUAGAAUUCCGUGUGUAGCGGUGAAAUGCGUAGAGAUCUGGAGGAAUACCGGUGGCGAAGGCGGCCCCCUGGACGAAGACUGACGCUCAGGUGCGAAAGCGUGGGGAGCAAACAGGAUUAGAUACCCUGGUAGUCCACGCCGUAAACGAUGUCGACUUGGAGGUUGUGCCCUUGAGGCGUGGCUUCCGGAGCUAACGCGUUAAGUCGACCGCCUGGGGAGUACGGCCGCAAGGUUAAAACUCAAAUGAAUUGACGGGGGCCCGCACAAGCGGUGGAGCAUGUGGUUUAAUUCGAUGCAACGCGAAGAACCUUACCUGGUCUUGACAUCCACAGAACUUUCCAGAGAUGGAUUGGUGCCUUCGGGAACUGUGAGACAGGUGCUGCAUGGCUGUCGUCAGCUCGUGUUGUGAAAUGUUGGGUUAAGUCCCGCAACGAGCGCAACCCUUAUCCUUUGUUGCCAGCGGUCCGGCCGGGAACUCAAAGGAGACUGCCAGUGAUAAACCGGAGGAAGGUGGGGAUGACGUCAAGUCAUCAUGGCCCUUACGACCAGGGCUACACACGUGCUACAAUGGCGCAUACAAAGAGAAGCGACCUCGCGAGAGCAAGCGGACCUCAUAAAGUGCGUCGUAGUCCGGAUUGAGUCUGCAACUCGACUCCAUGAAGUCGGAAUCGCUAGUAAUCGUGGAUCAGAAUGCCACGGUGAAUACGUUCCCGGGCCUUGUACACACCGCCCGUCACACCAUGGGAGUGGGUUGCAAAAGAAGUAGGUAGCUUAACCUUCGGGAGGGCGCUUACCACUUUGUGAUUCAUGACUGGGGUGAAGUCGUAACAAGGUAACCGUAGGGGAACCUGCGGUUGGAUCACCUCCUUACCUUAAAGAAGC
This 1554-nucleotide ribosomal RNA is filed under the name Escherichia coli. RNAcentral describes it as "bacterial SSU rRNA". It matches the Rfam family "Bacterial small subunit ribosomal RNA". Lineage: Bacteria; Pseudomonadati; Pseudomonadota; Gammaproteobacteria; Enterobacterales; Enterobacteriaceae. The record is from RNAcentral.